RNAcentral lists this long non-coding RNA (654 nucleotides) under Amborella trichopoda. RNAcentral describes it as "long non-coding RNA (ATRI_LNC000990)". The record is from RNAcentral. Lineage: Eukaryota; Viridiplantae; Streptophyta; Magnoliopsida; Amborellales; Amborellaceae.
AGAUGGAGAGGGUUUUGGGCGUCAAGCUUAGGGGGAAGAUCAAGUGAGAGAGGGUUUCGGGCCUUCUCCCUCGUCUUAGUUUCUCUAUAUUUAUCUCUCUCUCUUUCAUUCUUUCUUUGUGACUAUGUGUUUGGUGUCCUCGCUUUCUCUUCUCUUGCUGUGGAAGAAUCUGAGUGAAGGGCCAGUUUCUGCUACUUGUCUCUCUAACUCUCUCUCUCUCUGUUUUCAUGGUAGAUAGAUCAAUGUGCAGAUUACUGAGAUGAAGCAUAAUUACGACACACAUCCAUCAGUUUAACGCACGGUGAGGGAUGAAGGUGAUCCCUCUUUUAAGCAAGGGGGAAUGGACUCCUUUCUCUUGGGCCUCUUUUCUUUUUUGCGGUUAGUCUUCUCGUUUUGGGCUUUAAUCUAUGAUGGGUAAUCUUAUUGUUUGGGGCUUUAAUCGCUGAUGGGUAAUCUUCUUGUUUUGGGCUUUAAUCGAUGAUGGGGUAAUCUUGUUUUGGGCUGUGUCAUUAGUUGUGUACAUGGCUUAUAUGUGAUGGAAUAGAAGGAAUUUAAACAACUCUCUCUUUCCCUGUUUUGGUCACAGUCAUCAUGGCUUAUAUGUGAUGGAAUAGAAGGAGAAUUUAAACAUCUCUCUCUCUCUCUCUCUCUNNN